UAGGGAAUCUUCCACAAUGGACGCAAGUCUGAUGGAGCAACGCCGCGUGAGUGAAGAAGAUCUUCGGAUCGUAAAACUCUGUUGUUAGAGAAGAACACGAGUGAGAGUAACUGUUCAUUCGAUGACGGUAUCUAACCAGCAAGUCACGGCUAACUACGUACCAG
RNAcentral lists this ribosomal RNA (164 nucleotides) under uncultured bacterium. RNAcentral's name for it is "partial 16S rRNA". It matches the Rfam family "Bacterial small subunit ribosomal RNA", at positions 355 to 511 of the family's 1533-position model. The record is from RNAcentral.